CCAAGGCGACGACGGGUAGCUGGUCUGAGAGGACGACCAGCCACACGGGAAUUGAGAGACGGUCCCGACUCNUACGGGAGGCAGCAGUGGGGAAUCUUGGGCAAUGGGGGAAACCCUGACCCAGCGACGCCGCGUGGGGGAUGAAGGCCUUCGGGUUGUAAACCCCUGUUAGGUGGGACGAACAUCCUCCGGUAAAUAAUUGGGGGAUCUGACGGUACCACCAGAGAAAGCCCCGGCUAACUCCGUGCCAGCAGCCGCGGUAAUACGGAGGGGGCGAGUGUUGUUCGGAAUUACUGGGCGUAAAGGGCGCGCAGGCGGCUUGGCAAGUCGAGUGUGAAAUCCCUUGGCUUAACUGAGGAAUGGCGCUCGAAACUACCUCGCUAGAGGGCGGGAGAGGGAAGUGGAACUCUCGGUGUAGGGGUGAAAUCUGUAGAUAUCGAGAGGAACACCGGUGGCGAAGGCGGCUUCCUGGCCCGUACCUGACGCUGAGGCGCGAAAGC
This 500-nucleotide ribosomal RNA is filed under the name uncultured soil bacterium S0166. RNAcentral describes it as "bacterial SSU rRNA". It matches the Rfam family "Bacterial small subunit ribosomal RNA", at positions 268 to 760 of the family's 1533-position model. The record is from RNAcentral.